GUGAAUCAUCGAAUCUUUGAACGCAAAUUGCACUCUCUGGUAUUCCGGAGAGUAUGCCUGUUUGAGGGUCAGUUUAAAUACAAAUAGGUGUGGUUGCUGCGUUUCGUGGCGACGCACUGGAUUUGGGUCGUCUUGCUUUCGGUUAAGUUACAUAAAUUUUUGCUUGAUUUUUUUAGAAUGUUUUUAAAUGAUUCUAUGUACGUUUGGGUUACCGAUUUUUAGUUGCGGU
This 229-nucleotide unclassified non-coding RNA is filed under the name Glomeromycetes sp. RNAcentral describes it as "partial contains 5.8S ribosomal RNA and internal transcribed spacer 2". The stretch from base 1 to 71 matches the Rfam family "5.8S ribosomal RNA", at positions 84 to 154 of the family's 154-position model. The record is from RNAcentral. Lineage: Eukaryota; Fungi; Glomeromycota; Glomeromycetes.